UACCAUCACCCCGAGUGGUCGGGACGAUUAUUGGGCCUAAAGCAUCCGUAGCCGGCCUUACAAGUCCUCCGUUAAAUCCAGCUGCUUAACAGAUGGGCUGCGGAGGAUACUAUAAGACUAGGAGGCAGGAGAGGCAAGCGGUACUCAGUGGGUAGGGGUAAAAUCCGUUGAUCCAUUGAAGACCACCAGUGGCGAAGGCGGCUUGCCAGAAUGCGCUCGACGGUGAGGGAUGAAAGCUGGGGGAGCAAACCGG
RNAcentral lists this ribosomal RNA (253 nucleotides) under uncultured bacterium. RNAcentral's name for it is "partial 16S ribosomal RNA". It matches the Rfam family "Archaeal small subunit ribosomal RNA", at positions 474 to 727 of the family's 1478-position model. The record is from RNAcentral.